GAGAGUUGUUAUCCGGUUAGUUUCUUCUCAGAUGGAUGGAUCUUGCUUGUACUUUCUUCCUAUGCGGGGAAAAGGAAAGUCCCUUUUUCUGUGAUUCGAGUUUUCUUUCAAGAAAUAAAACCAUGGUGGCUUCUGCUACUUCGAUGUUUGUUUAGUCUCGAUUUUCGUUUUACUUGCUUUAUCUGCUUUGACAAGUUCUUGUUGUUGAACGAGAAAAGAAGCUCCUUUUGAUUCAUAUCCUUUCACACUCUCCUACAUCUGCUGCCCCAUUCCACACCGGAGAUAAAGUAUAACGAGUAGUAGAGGAUUAUUUGCACUGCGCACACAUAACUUGUGCUACCUUUGCACAAAAGCUCGCCAUUGUUAUUUUGCAGCUCAUCUAUCACAAGCAGAUAUAUACAUAUAUACUAGAUGAGCAGCAGCACAGCUGUUAAAUCAUUGCUAGCUUCUCAUGCAUGUGAAGUGAUGUGGCAGGCGAUUGGGACUUGGAGUUGGAGGAGACUACCAUCACUGCCAUGUGCAGGUUGCAUGCAUGAACGAACACUGUCUUUCUACCACCGGCCAAUAAGGAAAUUCCAAACAUUAUUCCGGGUCAGCAUGAGCUCCCAUCAUGUAAAGUUGGCGUUCCAAAUCUGUAAUUUCCCUCUCUUCGAUGAAAGCAUGCAUGUGAAAAUACAACAGCACUGUGAUAAUAACUGGAGUAACAAAGCGUAAUGUGUAUAGAUCUGAGUUUCCUGAUCAAGAUUAGCACUAAACUCGGAAUUACCACAUACGCAUGACCAAAGUUCAGAUGCAGAGAUUUUGGCACGAAAAUUUUAUGGCAAACUGAGUUGGAUUUUGCUAGAUUAAAACUACACAAGAACCGGUGCAGGUUUUUGAUCACUUCAUUUGUGCAAGCAGCUUUAUUUGUUUCCUGCGUGCCUCAUUAUUGCUAACUCUAGCAGACAUAAAGCACACAAAGGAAAAUAAAGAAGAGGCCAUAAACUAAAAGGCUUUAAGAAAAGAUGUCUAAUAAAUGGCUAUGUUUGGGUAAGCAAGAUAAUAAAGGGCUCAGCAAAGGAAAGGAGGCCGCAGCUCUGGUCAGCAGUAGUGUGGCCUUUUGCCUCUCAUGGCCCUCCUCACUCUCCCUCCUCUUUAUCUCUCCUGCCAAGUGCUGAUCCCUUCCCUUCCCUCCCCUUUGCAUUAAACCACUUUACCCUCACGCUGCAGGAGUACAAGAAACGAUAGGAGGCCGGUGGAGGGGAACAAUAGAUUAGUCUUGCCUUUUCAGCUAGAUUAUCUCUUCACAUGCUAAAUUUCACAGGUAUUUGUGCGGCAGUAGUUGUGUGAUGGUUGUGAUCUGGUUCGUUUGUGCUUAGACCGAUGGAUCUUGUUUGAUACUCUGUCCCUUUGGGGUGGGGGGGGGGGGGGGGGAUCCCUUUCUGUGCUUUCAGUUCUUGUAAGAAAAUCCAUGGUGGGCUUCUGCAACUUCGAUGCUUUCUUUCUUUCUUUAGACUUGAUUUCCGUUUUUCUUGCUUUCUUUUUGUUUGUAUCAGGGCAUUCUUUCCCUGCGCUACUAUGCUUUGGAAGGUUUUAGCUUUUGGUUCCGAGAUUUCUUCUCCUAGCAGAAGAGCAGCUCGAUCGGUAGAGCUUUGAUCUUGGACAUGAGGGGGGGGAGGCAAGACGUUAUAUGUCCAGCUAACUCUUGUCAGCUUCUUGCUUUGUGAAUAUUUUUCCUUAACCAAAUUUUAUUCUUGGAUAAAGUUAGUUUGCAAGAUUGAGUUGCUAUUUUUACAUCUGAUCCUUUAUCUGCUUCGACAAGAGAAAAGAAGCUCCUUUUGGUUCAUAUCAGUGGCUUGCUGUUGUUCCAGGUUUUCAUUUCUGAGCUUUUUUUUUUUGGAAGUAACUUUUUGAGCUUCUUUGCCCCCCAACCAUUCUUGUAUUCUUUUGGCUAAUUUCGUUGGAUCUCUUGUGGUUACACGAUCUUCUUGCCUUGCAUCUGUGUGUUCCUUUCCCAGCCGGGAGAAGGGUUGGCUGAUAGAGCAAGUCUGCCAGGCACCGAUCAGUCCAAAUCAUGACAUUAAUUCAUAACCAGGCAUCGAUCUUCCCAAAUUCUCUCUCUACUUUUUGAAGCGCGAGAAAUAAAUUUGUGAUCUUUUAGUAGGUAUUUAUUAAGCACAUAUUUAUUCAUAUUAAUUGCAUUACAUUAAUUCAUAUGAAACUGUACCCUGGAAUUCAUGCACUACCUUCAAGUGUUUAUAUUGCGUCCACCUAGUCCAUUUUUCUAACCAUUACAAUACAUCACAUAAAACUCAAAAGUGACCUAUUUCAUUCAUCAGCAAACAUCCAUGGCGAAAGCUACUAAGCUGUUUCUCGGUAGUGUGAUCCUUCUUCUCUACACUGGCCUCUUCAUCCAAGGUGCAACUGAGUACGCCGAUAUCAUGGAACACAUCCCUACCCAAUCCAUGAAGACACCCGAUCCAUGGGGUUCUUUGGCUCCCAUUCAGUACAGGAAAGUUUGUGCACCAUGUACUUGCUGCCCGGGGAAUUCCAGCAAAAGCUGCUAUGCUGCAAAUAAAUGUUGCAGGUUGCUCACAUGCAACGGGCCGAAUCAACCAAUAGGUACUUGUUCAAUAGAAGUCCUAGCUUGCAACUGUAACAAUUGCGUGUAACCGGUGCUUUCUUUUUUACCACGACAAGUGGAUGCCAAUAAAUUGAAAAUAUUAAGGUGAUACUCUACAUGUCACCGCUGCUAUUUCUGUCCAACCCAUAGAGACCUGCUGCAAUGUAUUGCCAAGAACACUUUAAUGUUUUA
Molecule: long non-coding RNA, 2794 nt
Organism: Panicum virgatum (switchgrass)
Lineage: Eukaryota; Viridiplantae; Streptophyta; Magnoliopsida; Poales; Poaceae
Exons: 2
Source: RefSeq, a predicted model, not a curated record